AACUUGGAGAAAAGAGGGGAAAAAAAUAAGAGAGGAAAAUUGGCAUAGCUAGGGAUUUUAUCCCUUGAAAUCUUGUUCCAAAAUUAAUUCUUCUAAUAUUCCAAGCAAGUUGAAGGCCCUAAUCAACAUAGAGAGAUUUUUGGAACAAGAAGACUAUUCAUUCUUGCAAGGCACAAUUCUAACAAGUUGAAGAACUAAGUGGAAAAGAUUUUGGAAAGGCCAAGAGUUAGGUGGGGUGACUAAGGAAGCGGACAAGGUACACACAGACAAGUAGAAGUUACUAUAGAAGAUGUUCCAGCAGGGUUAGC
This is a long non-coding RNA of Solanum dulcamara, 308 nucleotides long. RefSeq lists it as uncharacterized. NCBI's taxonomy places the organism in Eukaryota, Viridiplantae, Streptophyta, Magnoliopsida, Solanales, Solanaceae. The record is from RefSeq and is a predicted model, not a curated record. The transcript has 3 exons.